Molecule: non-coding RNA, 129 nt
Organism: Lophiotrema nucula
Lineage: Eukaryota; Fungi; Ascomycota; Dothideomycetes; Pleosporales; Lophiotremataceae
Source: the annotation of a GenBank genome assembly
GGUCAGGUGGCCGAGCGGUUAUGGCGCUAGCUUCAGGUGCUAGUAUCGAAAGAUGCGUGGGGUAAGGAUUUCUAGACAUGCGUUCUUGGUGCAUUCCUAACAAAGAUAGUUCGAAUCCCACCCUGAUCA